This 201-nucleotide long non-coding RNA is filed under the name Elaeis guineensis (African oil palm). RNAcentral's name for it is "long non-coding RNA (EGUI_LNC039145)". The record is from RNAcentral. Lineage: Eukaryota; Viridiplantae; Streptophyta; Magnoliopsida; Arecales; Arecaceae.
CAAUUGCACAAUGAACAGUAUAUGCAAGUCUUAUGUUCUUGCUAUAUUUAUUAAGUAUAGGAAUCCUUAAAUAUAAGCUGACAAAAAUAAAUCUUUUUUCGUUCUUAAAAGUUUUAAUUGGGUGAGAGGCUCAGAGCGGCUGAAUAGAAAAAUUCAUAUCCGAUCUCAGGAGUCUCAAUCGGAUGGGAGAUUUGGAGCGGC